RNAcentral lists this long non-coding RNA (475 nucleotides) under Chrysolophus pictus (golden pheasant). Its description in RNAcentral is "lncRNA (ENSCPIG00010006008.1)". The record is from RNAcentral. Lineage: Eukaryota; Metazoa; Chordata; Aves; Galliformes; Phasianidae.
AUAGAGAUCAUCAAGAACAAGGAUCAUGGAAGCACAGAAGUGCAGACUAUCAGGAUUCAGACUGUUUACCUUACCCAGUAUCAACUGGAGCACGACCUAAACCUUAUAUGCUGUUUCAGAAGCUGUCUAAGGAGAAAGCAGGAUUAGGUCAGUCUUUGUAGCAAUGGAGCCUGCUCCUCGUUAGAGAUGUUGGAGAAAACCUUGAGUUUCAUCAGCUGUGUACUAAAAGGUAAUUCCUACCUGUACAAAGUAGAGUAAGGUGCUACUGUGACUUUUAAGUUUUGUAUACUACCCACUUUGCAUUUACCCUGCUCAGCUAUAAAAGAUGAGCUAUAGGGCAGGGAGGAGGAGGGAGGAGAAUAAUCCAAAUCUGUGUAAGUCCUAAAGGAGAAUAAUGUUUUCCAGAUGAAAUUGUAUUCUUUAUGACUUGACUGACAGCAAUGAGCUCCUUUAUAUCCCUGCAAAACCAUCUAGC